Molecule: long non-coding RNA, 312 nt
Organism: Oxyura jamaicensis (ruddy duck)
Lineage: Eukaryota; Metazoa; Chordata; Aves; Anseriformes; Anatidae
Exons: 2
Source: RefSeq, a predicted model, not a curated record
AUUGGCUAAUGAAUUUUUCCACUAACUCAAAAGUGCCAUUGCCACAUUGCAGCUCCACCCCAAUUUCAUAUUAUCUUCUUUUACUGUUAGGUAAUUUAGAAGUGGUAACAAUAGGAUAAAAAUAUAGAAAAAGAGAACCAAGCAUCAAUUCAAAUAUAUAACUACAAAGAAAGGCAAGAAGCCAGUAAAAAAAAAAAAAAAAGAGAGAGAAAGCUGCAUGUGCUCUAUCUUCAUAGGAAGAGAGACAGUGCACAGGGUUAACUGGAAAAGUACUUCAUUUCCGCUCUUUGUCCAGCUUUACUUUUCCCUUAG